AAGUCGUAACAAGGUUUCCGUAGGUGAACCUGCGGAAGGAUCAUUAUGAAUGAAUAACAACCCACACACUGUGAACAUUAACUACUACAAUAAAAUACAGAUAGAUUUAUAUAAAAGAUACAACUUUUAGCAACGGAUCUCUAGGUUCUC
This 150-nucleotide unclassified non-coding RNA is filed under the name fungal sp. RNAcentral describes it as "partial internal transcribed spacer region". The stretch from base 1 to 46 matches the Rfam family "Eukaryotic small subunit ribosomal RNA", at positions 1786 to 1831 of the family's 1831-position model. Lineage: Eukaryota; Fungi. The record is from RNAcentral.